GACGUAGGGGGCAAGCGUUGUCCGGAAUCAUUGGGCGUAAAGAGCGUGUAGGCGGCCAGAUAAGUCCGCUGUGAAAUCUCGAGGCUCAACUUCGAGCUUUCGGUGGAAACUGUCUGGCUAGAGUCCGGAAGAGGAGAAUGGAAUUCCUGGUGUAGCGGUGAAAUGCGCAGAUAUCAGGAAGAACACCCGUGGCGAAGGCGGUUCUCUGGGACGGUACUGACGCUGAGACGCGAAAGCGUGGGGAGCGAACAGG
RNAcentral lists this ribosomal RNA (253 nucleotides) under uncultured bacterium. RNAcentral's name for it is "partial 16S ribosomal RNA". It matches the Rfam family "Bacterial small subunit ribosomal RNA", at positions 524 to 776 of the family's 1533-position model. The record is from RNAcentral.